RNAcentral lists this ribosomal RNA (1435 nucleotides) under Limosilactobacillus reuteri. RNAcentral's name for it is "bacterial SSU rRNA". It matches the Rfam family "Bacterial small subunit ribosomal RNA", at positions 53 to 1430 of the family's 1533-position model. Lineage: Bacteria; Bacillati; Bacillota; Bacilli; Lactobacillales; Lactobacillaceae. The record is from RNAcentral.
UCUGAUAGUCGGUGCAUACAUGCAGUCGUACAAGGUAACCAGCUGAUUGAUGGUGCUUGCACCUGAUUGACGAUGGAUCACCAGUGAGGGGCGGACGGGUGAGUAACACGUAGGUAACCUGCCCCGGAGCGGGGGAUAACAUUUGGAAACAGAUGCUAAUACCGCAUAACAACAAAAGCCACAUGGCUUUUGUUUGAAAGAUGGCUUUGGCUAUCACUCUGGGAUGGACCUGCGGUGCAUUAGCUAGUUGGUAAGGUAACGGCUUACCAAGGCGAUGAUGCAUAGCCAAGUUGAGAGACUGAUCGGCCACAAUGGAACUGAGACACGGUCCAUACUCCUACGGGAGGCAGCAGUAGGGAAUCUUCCACAAUGGGCGCAAGCCUGAUGGAGCAACACCGCGUGAGUGAAGAAGGGUUUCGGCUCGUAAAGCUCUGUUGUUGGAGAAGAACGUGCGUGAGAGUAACUGUUCACGCAGUGACGGUAUCCAACCAGAAAGUCACGGCUAACUACGUGCCAGCAGCCGCGGUAAUACGUAGGUGGCAAGCGUUAUCCGGAUUUAUUGGGCGUAAAGCGAGCGCAGGCGGUUGCUUAGGUCUGAUGUGAAAGCCUUCGGCUUAACCGAAGAAGUGCAUCGGAAACCGGGCGACUUGAGUGCAGAAGAGGACAGUGGAACUCCAUGUGUAGCGGUGGAAUGCGUAGAUAUAUGGAAGAACACCAGUGGCGAAGGCGGCUGUCUGGUCUGCAACUGACGCUGAGGCUCGAAAGCAUGGGUAGCGAACAGGAUUAGAUACCCUGGUAGUCCAUGCCGUAAACGAUGAGUGCUAGGUGUUGGAGGGUUUCCGCCCUUCAGUGCCGGAGCUAACGCAUUAAGCACUCCGCCUGGGGAGUACGACCGCAAGGUUGAAACUCAAAGGAAUUGACGGGGGCCCGCACAAGCGGUGGAGCAUGUGGUUUAAUUCGAAGCUACGCGAAGAACCUUACCAGGUCUUGACAUCUUGCGCUAACCUUAGAGAUAAGGCGUUCCCUUCGGGGACGCAAUGACAGGUGGUGCAUGGUCGUCGUCAGCUCGUGUCGUGAGAUGUUGGGUUAAGUCCCGCAACGAGCGCAACCCUUGUUACUAGUUGCCAGCAUUAAGUUGGGCACUCUAGUGAGACUGCCGGUGACAAACCGGAGGAAGGUGGGGACGACGUCAGAUCAUCAUGCCCCUUAUGACCUGGGCUACACACGUGCUACAAUGGACGGUACAACGAGUCGCAAGCUCGCGAGAGUAAGCUAAUCUCUUAAAGCCGUUCUCAGUUCGGACUGUAGGCUGCAACUCGCCUACACGAAGUCGGAAUCGCUAGUAAUCGCGGAUCAGCAUGCCGCGGUGAAUACGUUCCCGGGCCUUGUACACACCGCCCGUCACACCAUGGGAGUUUGUAACGCCCAAAGUCUC